AAUGCCUAGGAAUCUGCCUGGUAGUGGGGGAUAACGUUCGGAAACGGACGCUAAUACCGCAUACGUCCUACGGGAGAAAGCAGGGGACCUUCGGGCCUUGCGCUAUCAGAUGAGCCUAGGUCGGAUUAGCUAGUUGGUGAGGUAAUGGCUCACCAAGGCGACGAUCCGUAACUGGUCUGAGAGGAUGAUCAGUCACACUGGAACUGAGACACGGUCCAGACUCCUACGGGAGGCAGCAGUGGGGAAUAUUGGACAAUGGGCGAAAGCCUGAUCCAGCCAUGCCGCGUGUGUGAAGAAGGUCUUCGGAUUGUAAAGCACUUUAAGUUGGAGGAAGGGUUGUAGAUUAAUACUCUGCAAUUUUGACGUUACCGACAGAAUAAGCACCGGCUAACUCUGUGCCAGCAGCCGCGGUAAUACAGAGGGUGCAAGCGUUAAUCGGAAUUACUGGGCGUAAAGCGCGCGUAGGUGGUUUGUUAAGUUGGAUGUGAAAUCCCCGGGCUCAACCUGGGAACUGCAUUCAAAACUGACUGACUAGAGUAUGGUAGAGGGUGGUGGAAUUUCCUGUGUAGCGGUGAAAUGCGUAGAUAUAGGAAGG
RNAcentral lists this ribosomal RNA (595 nucleotides) under uncultured bacterium. Its description in RNAcentral is "bacterial SSU rRNA". It matches the Rfam family "Bacterial small subunit ribosomal RNA", at positions 112 to 704 of the family's 1533-position model. The record is from RNAcentral.